GGUCGAGCAGGCCGGGCACCUCGACCACGUCGCUCGGGUCGACGUCGAGUUCGCGCAGCAGCAGUUCGAGCAUGCUCUCGGUCA
This 84-nucleotide transfer RNA is filed under the name Mycolicibacterium litorale. Its description in RNAcentral is "tRNA-Pro". The record is from RNAcentral. Lineage: Bacteria; Bacillati; Actinomycetota; Actinomycetes; Mycobacteriales; Mycobacteriaceae.